This 232-nucleotide ribosomal RNA is filed under the name Holosporales bacterium. RNAcentral's name for it is "partial 23S ribosomal RNA". It matches the Rfam family "Bacterial large subunit ribosomal RNA", at positions 2682 to 2925 of the family's 2925-position model. The record is from RNAcentral. Lineage: Bacteria; Pseudomonadati; Pseudomonadota; Alphaproteobacteria; Holosporales.
UACGAGAGGACCGGAGUGGACGUACCUCUGGUGUUCCGGUUGUCAUGCCAAUGGCACUGCCGGGUAGCUAUGUACGGACGGGAUAACCGCUGAAAGCAUCUAAGCGGGAAACCCACCUCAAAACUAGUUCUUGCUAAGAGCCGUGGUAGACCACCACGUUGAUAGGCCGGGUGUGGAAGAGGCGUAAGCCUUGAAGCUAACCGGUACUAAUCGCUCAAAAGGCUUGAUUCGU